Non-coding RNA from Caretta caretta (loggerhead turtle), 8851 nucleotides. NCBI's taxonomy places the organism in Eukaryota, Metazoa, Chordata, Testudines, Cheloniidae. The record is from RefSeq and is a predicted model, not a curated record.
GUGGGGAGUAAUCAGGUAGGGCAAGAGAUUGGAAAGGGGAACAGAAAGCUCUGGGACGCAGGAUCUCAUUUGUACCAAACCCACCAGCAAGUGCUUUGUGGGCUAACCCAGGAACAGAGAACUCCUGAAGAAUCCAUGCCAGACCUUAUCUAAGCCCUGGUGCAUGCUAGACUCAAACUUUGGAAGUUGUGGUGAGUUACAGAAAGGCUUAUCAGCAACGUUGUUCAUAUUCAAUAACCCUGCUAGCUCUUUACUAAACCUAGUCCUGAUUUUUCAUUUUAAAAAAUUAGAAGACAAGUCUUUUUUUCUGCAUGUUUUUCUUCUUUUGAAAAUUUACAGCUGCUUGAUGAAAAACUGAGUCCCACAAAACGAUGAUCGUCACGGGGUACGUGCUUUUAUUCUUAAAUUCCACACUUUAUGGUGCAAUGUAAAUAGUCUGAUAGACGCGAUGUCACCUUUGCGAAAGGGCCAGAAGAUGAGGCUGAGUGAUGAGGUGAGGCUGCACCAGCAUUUUAUCUUAGGAGGCUGACGUUCAUAUCCUGUUCACCUCACAAGGGAAAGUCACUUGGUGCCCUCACUGUUCAGUAUACUUGAACACAGCAUCUGUCCAGAAAGGCAACACUGGAGGGCCUGGCUUGGCAGAGCCGACGUGCACUGGCAGAGCCGUGUGAGGAUCCAGAACUGGGUACUGCAGGGCAGCACCCAAGAGCCCUUGCGGGACUAUGGGAGCUCAUGAUUGAGGCCUUGCCUUCACAGAGAACACAGGGCAUGCCCUUCACUAACUGGAGUGCCCUUCUGGUGGCACUAGGACCCACGUGGCCUCCCCUCCCACCACCUUGGGGGAAGACGGCAGAGAGGAGACGGCCGAGAGGAGACGGCUAGACACUCCAGCCCAUAGGGACGGAAGCUGCCAAAGCAGGGACCUCUGGACAUUCAGAGAAACUUGUACAGUUCUGACCAGGUUCUCUCAGCCCUAUGCUGUUUGGUUCAGCCCUCCUUUUCUGUCUCUUCACCUCUGCCUAACUCUGCACCUGCCCCUCCUACCCCCCGCCCCCCCAGUUAGCUCUUCCCCUCCUAACUCCCUCCCCCCAAAUCAUGAAACUAAUGUGACAUUUGCUACCACCAUAUUGUUUGCUCUGCCCUCGUGUUCUACCUCUUCCCCUCCCUGUCUGCUCUAUUUAGGUCAUCAGGGGAGGGACCUUCUGGUUUUACCUAGCAUACUGAGGUCCCAUUUUUGUUUGGUUCUUAGGCACUACCACAAUAAACACGAUUCGUAAUCUAGAGAAGAAACUUAGCUUGUAGUUUUCACACGAGUUAGGUCAGGUUAUGACAGAGCCUAGCCUUCAACUCACCCUGGCAAAAAUUCAAAGUGCAAUGUCUUCACCAGGAUUUUACCUCCAGUUACUCACCAGCACCCGUCUUUUCAUAGUGCAGCAAAGGUGAAAACAAGCAGGAGAUACUGCACAGGGGUGUAUUGGCAGAGCUGAGAGAGAGGCAAGGACGGGAAGGGCAGGGAAUGCUGCAGGUCAGGACUGAAGUGGAUUUGCAGUGGUAGAACUGCUGGAGGGCCCAAGUAGCAGGCGUACUGUAGGUGACUGUGUGGGGUAAUGAGACAGCUGGGCAGUGCCUGCCUUCUCAACCUUAUAUUUGACAUUGGGCCUGUAAUCUUACCAGAGUGGCAAAGUUAAAACAAGCUACACUAAUAAAAACAGGAUGAUUGUUCCUAGUGGCACAAAAUGGCCUUUUUCCUAGAAACCAAUUCACAGGCUAAGUAAUGCAAUAACAAUGUUCUCUCCUCUCUCCAAACUGGUUUCCUGUUCUCUCACCCUACAGAACAGAGUUUGGAACCUGCAAGUUCCAAGUCAGUAAAAUUAAGUAACUGUCUCAAGACCAGACCAGUGUAUGCAUCCAACAACUUUGUCUGACAUUUGCAAGUUUCCCACUGUAUCCUCUCCAGGUGUGACUUACUCAGAUAGCUUUACAUUUAAUUGGUUGUGAAUAAAGGUGAAUAUCAGCUGUGAAUUGUGAGACUAAUUAUAGUGCAAUCGGAACUUUGUGAUCUGGCCCUUAAAGCAGGUUAGACCACUCUGACUCAUUUCCGUACAACUAGCACCCUUGGGGUCCAAUCUAGGGCUCUUGAUCCAAAGCAAGCAGGAGUCUUCCCAUUGAGCGUUUAAUGGCCUUUGGAUCAAAAAGUGGUGCAUAUUUCUAUGUUUGUAAAAAGAGUACCACACUCACUAACCUGACAAAUGUAAUCAAAUGGCAUCAGAGGAUCUGAAGAGCAUAUCUUCUGGGUGUGUUAGUUUUCCAUGUAAACAAGCGCAUCUGCUAUUGGACUGAUCCGUGGGAGGUUUCAUACUUAGGUUAUAUGAGAGAACAUGCAGCUGCAUUUGUGUGUGUGUUCUUUCUGGGUCAGCCUCCCUAACUAGCAACACAUUAAACCUUCAUUUUCCCCCCCACACACAAGUGAUUAUCACUGCUUAAUUGUAUUCAAAAGGUGUCCCCGAGACUACAGAUAUCACACAGAUAAUUGAAAUGUACGAGUAAGAUACAUACACCUUUGAACAAUGAAACACUCAGAAAUAAUUCUCCAAUGACGUUACCAAUCAAGUAAUACCAGAUCCAGCCCUGGGGCAGUGAAGAUUCUCACAAUGAGGUUAUGUUUUACACAAGUAAUUCUUUUUCCUCAUAGUAAUGCCUAGCUUAUCAUUAGAUCCCCAAGCAAUCUACAAAGCUUACCAUCGUUAUCCCAAUUUUACAGAUGGGGAAACUGAGGCAGAGAGGGGAAAGUGACUUGCCAAGGGUCAACCAGCAGGCCAGAGCUCACACUAGAACCCAGGUCUCUCCUGACCCACAGUCUAGUGCUCCGUCUGCUAGGCCACACUACCUCUUAGUGGCACUACCCCAGUUUAAACCACUUGACGAUCUGUCCCUUCUAUCUGAUUUGCAUCACUUGUGCAGUGUAUGUCACUGCCCAAUAUUGAGCUAGGAAAUUCUGCUCUUGGCAAUGCAUGCCUUCCCUUUAUGAAUAAUCACCAAAGCCGUAGUCAUCCAAAUAAGCACGCACACCAUUUUAUUUGAUUAGUUGCUUUUUCCUCACACUAUUCUAGUGACAAUUUGUUUACUUUUACCAUGGGCCUGACAAUUGUUAGAGAUGGGACUAAACUGCAAAGUUUGGAUCUGGAUCCAAACUGCCCCAAAGUUUGAGGAGUGUUGGGAUCUGGAGUUCUCGUUCCACGCUAUUUCUAGAGUGUGCUUUUGGCUAUUAGCCCUAUGACAGCACACUUCCUAUGGUAUCCAUUAAGUUUGCCUAGAACUACACCUUGUUUUUCCCUUUAUUCAUCAUUCCUGCAGCCUCUUGGUGGAGGCCACAUUGUCAGCAUGGAAAACAACUUCACACCCUGUUUUCAGGCUGCUGCAAAAAGAGAGUUGCUCCCUAAAUGUGUAAGUUAUUGGAAGCCCUGCCCCUGCAUGCCACAUGUCAAUUCAUGCCUGCUUGAACUGAAUCUUGUGUUUUAUGAAUCAUACAGAGUUCUUACCUUGAGUCACUUGCAAAAAAUCAAUAAGAGGCAGAACAUGAUAUUCAGCGCUUCAUGGCCCAUUCAAGCCUGACCACAUCCUGGUGCAUCAGGCUCUUUCUUUGUUGCACAACUUUUCUUUCAAGUGCUCAAAUAGCAUCAGGAUGGGUGGGGUAGAAAACCCUAGACAGAGAGAACCCUCUGAAAACGUCGUACAACACAGAUGGGGCGCAGAGUAAGUCUGGCUCAUUGAUAUUAAUGGAAGUCAUGCGGCUAAUUCCCUAAACACUGCUUUGAAAGCUAGGCUGAGAGUAGGUACCACCAGUGCAGCCAGUGUGGUUCUUCUUCCAUGUCUGAGAGUGGGCACUUCCAAUAGGAAAAUCAAGUUAUUAAUGUUCACAAAGACUCAACUACGUGCUCACUCUUCUUGCAGAGGUAGUCUUUGCCAAUCAGAACUGAUGCACAUUUUCCCGAUGAACCAGUGAAGUAGGUGAUCAUUACCACCUCUGAUAUUAAGGAGGUGGGAGUGCCUUUCUAGAAAGAAAAGGCAACAUAGGGUGUGGGCAGAGCCAGGAAUCCUAGGAGCUCACAAUGCCCAAGCCUUGCUUUACCGAGCCUGUGUCUUUAACAUACAGCGUUGUCAAUAUGGCACCAUUCACCACCACUGCAAUCACUAAAAAAGUAGAUUUUUUUUACUAUUAUUUGUUCAUAAUGAACCGGACCAGUCAAGAUCUUCUGAGCAAAGGAUUAGCGAAUGCAUCCGAUGAAGUGAGCUGUAGCUCACGAAAGCUUAUACUCAAUAAAUUGGUUAGUCUCUAAGGUGCCACAAGUCCUCCUGUUCUUGUUACACAGUCCUGAGUUCUGCAAGUGGUAUGGUGUCUGGGACUCUCUGGCCAUGGAGGGUGCAGCUGCUAUGACAGUGAAGUCAGUAAAGCGAGUUGAAAUUUUUCUCAUUUCAAAAUGUUGAUGAAAAAUGUCAAAAUGUAAAAAAAGUCAAAAAAAUUCAAUUUUGAGCAGGAAAAGAUUUCAUUCCUCCCCCCACCCCUCUGGUUUUUUAACCCAACUAUAGAGCUGGUCAAAAUUUUUCAAGUGUCAGAAGGUUGACAAAAUUUCAAUAUAAAAACAGAAAAAAAUUGAAACAAAAAUUAUGAUUCCCCUAUCUUACAUUUUCGAGUCAGCUGUAACAUGUAAAAGUUCCUUUUUGCAUGAAUCACUGCCAUGGUGCCACUUGCCCUGUGCAUUACAGACUGUAUGACCUAUACAACAUAGAAAUCGAUGUGUUAGUGGAAAGCAAGGUUGUUACCGAAAUCCCAGAAACACUUUGCUGGAUAAUUGAUUGAUUUACAAAGGGCACACAUACACGCUAUAUGGAAUACAGAGAACACUAAGUAAUUGACCACUAAAACGCAAAUAUCUCUGGAAGUAAAAUCUCUCAUAAAAUAUUUGGAUGGUUUGUUCUUGUCUGUGUUUUAUAUUUCUCUAAAUGGUAAGGAGGGGGACAGGUUACUAAUUGCAAGUUGAUCCCUCUCUACCCCCGCCCCGCAUGCUUGAAGUCAGUGAACAAUAUUGGCAGAUCACAUUGCAGAAUAAACCUAGUCCCCACCAAAAAGCAAAUGCACUUAGUCAGUGAAGAUUUGUCCCCCCAACACUUUCUCAAUUUGGCUGAUGUAAAACAUCAUACUGAUCCAUUACAUUGGCUCUUUGCUCCAAAGUCCUUUCUCCAAAGCCCCCUUCCUUUCCCAAUACUUCCUUUACGGGGCAAUGUCUAUGCUCGUUGCCCUGUGUUUCCUCACUGCCCCAUUAUUUACAAAACCUCUCUCCUCAUCUUCUCCUUCUACUAUAUUUACUACACUAUGCUUUGUGCCAAACUAAACAGUUACAUUUGAGACUGUUACUCAUGCUGAGCCAAGUAUUCUGCAAGACAUUCCCUACCGAUUUGCACUUGCCAGUCUUGAUGCUGAAAGGGAUUGGAAUGGAAAGGUUACAUGGAUUGUAAAAGGACAUUUUUAUAAAAGGAAUCCAAACCCAUGUGCCUUGCCCUUUUCAGAAGACACCCACCCGGGAACAGAAUGGAGUGACUCACAGGCAAGUUCUUACUGGCGUGUCGGGUGUGCGAGCAUGUAGAGGGGAUGCAGGGAGAGGCUGCUAGCAGCCUGUUUGAUGGCAACUUGCAUGCUUGGUAGUCUUAGGAACAAUGGCUCUAAACAUGGCCUGAAGCCCUCCCGCCUCAGGCUAGGACUUGUCAGUUCUCACAAGCGAAGCAGGAGUAGGUGUGGUCAGUGUUUGGAUGCGAGACCUCAGAGGUUCUACAGAAGUGGUGUCUGAGUCAAUAUUGAACCAGCACUCAAGCAUAGAGUUAGGAGGCUGCUGUGCUAUUUUAGGUUCCAUCCAUUGGAUGAGAUAUAAAAUUUACAGCAUGGUCUUGUGUGGUCAUUGAAGAGUCAGUGGCAGUUUUUGGAAGAGGUUUUAUCCAGUGUCCUAGCCAAGUGCAAAUAACCACUGUACAGGUUCUCCCUACUUUAAUUGCCCCUGUAAUCUGAACAGAACACACGCUGUUCUUUGCUUCCUGACCUAAACAAUUACAUGGUAUUGUUCCGGACUAUUUAUCAGCAGUGCCUCAGAGAUGGCUGCAUUUGACUGGGAGAUAAGGAAAUGCCUGCAUGUGUAUCAUUUGUACAAUGCUCCUGCUGAGUAAAAGGUGCUUUUGAAAUUCAAGAUAUAAUCGGUGCAUAGUUGAGCAGGUUUCCCUGCAUGCAUCUUACCAUACUUUGCCCAGCAUGCUACCAGCCUCCAACUCCACUGGCACAAAUCGUGAAUUCACGCUGGCCAAUUUUAAAGGAGGAAUUAUCAAAGUUUGCACACUCAUUUGCUUGCCCCUAACUGGCCACAUGUGUGUUAGUACUUCAUUUGCAGUGCACGUCUGGAAUUUGCAUGCCUGAGUUAUAUGCAAGCAUCUCUCACAGGCCAUGGUGCAAAAGGAUGAGCUAGUCUGGAGCUUGGGUGUCUCCCAGUAACUUCUUCCUUUGAUCUCCCAUUGGGCUUACUGUCCCUAUCGACCUGACAGCAAUGCCAGGCCAAGUGCAUGCACUCUCUGGCCAAGGUUGUGAGCAUCUCUAUUUUUGGUGUCCAACUUGAGCCACCUUAAAAGGGUGAGGUUUUCAGACAGCGUUUGCUCAGCUCUUUCUGAAAGUCAUGCCCUUUCUCAAACGGGCACCUCAAAAUGGAAGCACCCAAACUUGUUUGUCACUUUCCUGAAUCAGCCAAGCCUGGCUGUCUCCCUCACGCCAUUUUCCUCUAUGGCGCCUGUUCCAACAUCUUCUAAAAGAUGUUUCAAAUGCUGUCGUACUGGCUCAGCUGGUGAGCUUAACACUGUACAGCAUUUGGAGAUAUGGUAAAUAGGCAGAGAAAAGAAAUCAUUACAAAUCCAACAAACUAAUUCUCUGUCAUAUGCUAAAGGACUCAAUCGAAAGGUCACCAUUCUCUAUUACGUUCAAUAGGGCUUUUCUAGAAGGGACUGAAGGCCUCCUCCUGGGUGAUGGAACGUGGUCCGUCAGCCUAAAACCCUGGAGAUCAUCAUCCAUAAUUUCAGUCUCCUAUAAGUUCUCUUUAAGGGGGUGGGUGGGAAGUGUCUGCAGGACAUUUAGGAGUUUUUGCUUCUAUAGAGCUCAGUCCAACUUCAUUUACGUCAACUGAGAAGUUCCUUUUCGCUUUAGUGUCUGUUGGAUCCGGCCUCUAGCUACCAAAACUUCAAGAGAACUAGCAUCUGGGGAUCCAAAUUUCUGCCCACUUAGCUAACAAAGCAUAUACUUGUUUAUUUAAAACAUUAUUGUUAUGAACUAGUUAUACAGUAAUUACUCCUAAUAAAACAUUUACUUAAAGUUACUGCACACUAUUACUGACUCCAAUGGGCCUUGGAUCAGGGCCUUAUUUCCUGUAAUUAGAUAGAAAUAAGUAUAGGAUAAAGCUGUGAUAUCUCAGAUACCAGUGUUUAUACUAAACAAACUGUGGGUAAGCGCUGGCUUUUGAAAGUGGCCCAAUGAAAAAUAAAAACAGAUGUUAGAUAGUUCAGAGAUAAAGUUACAAAACCACUGUUUGAAAUUUAGGAAGUUGCAAAAAAGACCAGGAAGUUGAAACAUGAGCAUUGGGAGAUGGCAGCCAUUUUGAAAUAUGAGAAUUUUGUGAGAGUUUCUCUAAAGUACACCAUGAGGGAAUUUCUUUUAAGAAUUUGCCUUUUAAAGUCACUCAGCUGGGACCAGAAACACUAAUGUGCAUUAAUCAGAAUUAUUGCAUGGCUCCACACUGCAGGGGUAGAGAGGUGGGAUCUGUACCCUACCUGCCCGGAGAACCCACUUCACCCUUACUUAUGUAGGAAGGGAGGCAAUGGCUCACUGGAGAUUCUUCUGAGCUGUGAGGCACAGCAUUAAGUAAUCUGUGAAAUUCAGUAAGGAGGUCUUCCCACCCCGCUACAACCCUGCAUGGAUGUAUAACCUAGAGGACCAUCUUACUGAAAGGAAGACAAGCUGUUGGGAUAUGGGGGUAAGAGGCUGAAACCUACUGAAGAAUAUAAGGCUAGACACAACAGCCCUAUAUUUGAGGGACUAUUUUCCCCUCUAGCUUAUUGGGCCAAAUUCAGCCUUGAUGUAGUUCUAAGGAACUCAGGGAGUUGUUCCUGGGAUGAGUGUGCCCUGUUAUUUCAAAUGUUCCAAUUAUAAGAGUUUAGACUAGGAGGAAUUAAAAAUAGUUAAACCUCACUUAAUUAUUUUGGUCUCUCUUUUGUCUACAGGAGGUUACAUCAGAGAAAAAACUUAGUGUUUAUGGAUAAAGUCCCCCGUGAAACUCAGUGACAUAGUCACAGCACUGUUGGAAGUUCUAUACCAGUGGUUCUCAGCCAGGGGUAUGCAUACCCUUUGGGAUAUGCAGCAGUCUUCCAGGGGGUACAUCAACUCAUCUAGAUAUUUGCCUAGUUUUACGACAGGCUAUAUAAAAAGUCCUAGAAAAAAAGUCAGUACAAACUAAAAUUUUACAUAGACUGACUUGUUUAUACUGCUUUAUGUACUACACACUGACAUUGCGCUGUGACACUCUUGUCUUUUUAGGUCUGAUUUUGUUGCAGUAGUUUUAAAGUGAGGUGAAACUUGGGCAUACGCAAGACAAAUCAGAGUCCUGAAAGGGGUACAAUAGUCUGGAAAGGUUGAGAGCCACUGGUCUACACAGUCGCAUCAUUCGGCACUGCACCAUUUCCAAUCCAGACUGCAUCCUACAGGGGAUGUGUCAAGAUCACAGAUUGUUAUUAAUUUAGUCAUGUGAAAUGAACCAUGAAAUAAAGACAGAAA